UAUUUUUUAAACCAUGCUUUAUUGUGUAGGGGCCAAGGGGAAAGUUCCUCUUUGCCCUCUGAAGGUUCAUUGAAAGCCAACUCAUAAAAGGUAGAUUUUUGGAGAAAAGGCAAAUAAAUUGAUUAUUGAUUGAUUGAUUAUUUAUUUUUGAGAUGGAGUCUCGCUCUGUCGCCUAGGCUGGAGUGCAGUGGCGCGAUCUCGGCUCACUGCAACCUCCGCCUCCCGGGUUCAAGCGAUUCUCCCGCCUCAGCCUCCGGAGUAGCUGGGAUUACAGGCGCCUGCCACCACGCCCGGCCUUUACCUCCAGUUUUCACACAGAAAGGCGGAGGGAACAUCAGAGUCAUGUUUUUAGGUUUUGUGGCUGGCUUUGGGGGUCUGGUCUCUGGGACCCGCCUUGGGGAAAAGGGAUUCACUCUGUGAGGAGCCUCGCGGGAGAACAGAACUGAGACUGGAGGGCUGGGAAGGUCAGAGGGAAACUGCCUCCCAGGCCUUCAUUUUGGGGCGUUGUGUUCUGAGCCCCAAUAAUUGUAACAUCUUCAUAAGCGACUUUCUGGUGGUUAUGGUGAAUCGGGACACACGAUGUAUGGUGACCGACGGGGGAGCCGGAAGCCCAGCGGGGUUAGGGUUCAGGUGAGGAUUUAGGGUCGGGGCGAGCGGGGCACGGCCCGGACGCGCAGCGCCACCGCUCCCAAACCCUCCGCUCAGCUGCCGCGGGUUCUCGCCCCCCGACCAUAGACGGCGCGGGCCUCCAGUCAUCCCAGAGCGGCCCCGGAAGAAUCCGGGCGGAACCGCGGCUGGUUUCCGGUUCCCGGCGUUCUCCGAGGCGCACUGAGGCCCCCUCAGGGGGCGGGGAAUCCUGCGUGUGCGCAGCUCGGCCCGGCCCUCACUCUUCAUCCAGGGCCCGCCUUCUCCCCGGCUCAGGAUCCGGUUGUGUGGGCGGGUCCGCUGCGGGCUCGGUGCGACUGCGCAGCUCGUCGGCGUUUCCUCGGUGGCUGUCCCGGGCAGAGCGAACAGGUGGGGCAGUGUCGGACCAGGAAGGAGCGCUAAGCGGGCAGGCAGGCGGGGAGGGCGCGGGGAGGCGGCGGCCAGUCCAGGAGGGGCCUGUUCUGGGUGCCGCGGCGGGAGCCACCGACGGGCUGCAGAGGCCGGGAGGAGGCGACCGCGGCGCGGCCCUAGGAGGCUGGACUGAGGACCACAGCUGGCUUCCGGCCUCUCCCCGGAGCCCGGGGCCUUCGGCAGCAUCCCCGCGGCCUCCCCCUCACGUCCUCAGCCCUGGUGAGGCUUCACCCUCACGUGGCUCUUUGCCCCAGGUUGGCCCAGGCAGGUACAACGGCCCUGCACCCCGUUUCCAGGGCCUUCAGCAGGCUGGACCACGGGAACUGCCAGCUUUCACCCCUUAGCCGGGCGUCCCUGGAUCCCCCGCGGGCUCUGGCUCCGGCCGUUCUGGGAUUUCAGGAGUCACUGAGCAGUAGGGCACGUCGGCCCAUGCUGCAUGGUGACCUGCCUCCUGCAACCCAGGAAGCUACACCAGCAAUCAGCUUCUGCCUCCUGGCCGUCCUUCCACACCCCAGGUUGAAUGGGGCUGAGCCUGAGUUCUCCCCACUGAAGGUAAGUUGGAGGAGACUUCAGGCCAGGGCAGUCUCCUGUUUUCUCUUGGAAACCACAGCAGCCCAUGCGCACAGAAUGGCAGCCACACUCCAGUUUCCAGGGUACCAGGUGAGUUAACCCUCAUUCCUGCCCACCUCUUCAUCUUCAUCCCCAUCUCAGUCAGAAGCUGCUCUCCUCUGGAGCAGUGAGCCUGGCAACUGGUAAGGCCAGCCAGGGGCUCAUAGCAACCAUGAGGAAAGGGUUCUGAGAGGUAGACUCGCCCUCCCGCAGGGAGAGGGGCUCUGAGCUCAGCUGGGUCCCCGUGUGGCUGAAGUUGGCUGGUCCUCAGCGCUCUCAGCUGCCCCGUCAGGGACCUGCUGAUACACAGUUCAUACUGACCGCAGCAGGGCCUUGGGUAGUGGGGCCCCACCAGGUCAGGGCCCUUUUAGUGCAGGCUGCUGCCCAGUGGGCAUGGCCCGGGCAGCGGCGAUGUUUUGUUGCAGGAGAUGCCGCUGACCUUCCAGGAUGUGGCCGUGUACUUCUCUCAGGCGGAGGGACAGCAGCUGGGCCCCCAGCAGCGGGCGCUCUACAGAGAUGUGAUGCUGGAGAACUAUGGGAACGUGGCCUCUCUGGGAUUCCCUAUCCCUAAGCCGGAGUUGAUCUCCCAGCUGGAGCAGGGGAAGGAACUUUGGGUCCUGAAUCUUCUGGGAGCUGAGGAACCAGAUAUCUUGAAAAGCUGCCAGAAAGGU
Molecule: small RNA, 2336 nt
Filed under: Pongo abelii (Sumatran orangutan)
Lineage: Eukaryota; Metazoa; Chordata; Mammalia; Primates; Hominidae
Description: retained intron
Source: RNAcentral